ACGGUUGAAAGGCCGUCUGUAUCUGUCUGGCUAUGUCGGCUUAAAAAUUUGUCUGUGGAACAGGAGGUCGGUGGUUCGAGCCCACCCAACUGUACCA
This 97-nucleotide transfer RNA is filed under the name Bradyrhizobium sp. Ash2021. Its description in RNAcentral is "tRNA-OTHER". Lineage: Bacteria; Pseudomonadati; Pseudomonadota; Alphaproteobacteria; Hyphomicrobiales; Nitrobacteraceae. The record is from RNAcentral.